This 592-nucleotide long non-coding RNA is filed under the name Elaeis guineensis (African oil palm). RNAcentral's name for it is "long non-coding RNA (EGUI_LNC069231)". Lineage: Eukaryota; Viridiplantae; Streptophyta; Magnoliopsida; Arecales; Arecaceae. The record is from RNAcentral.
AUAUAUGGUACUCGUGAUCAGAGAAUCUUGAUUCUCGAUCACAGAGUCUCAGACAUGUAGGACUCAUAGUCCACAAGCAUUAGGACUCUUCAUCAGCCAUCAGAUCAGAUAGGAACCUCUAAUGUGUGUGACCCCGCAGGUUCGAACCUAAGCCGGUAGCACAGGAACCAAUUCCUGUACUAAUCGAAGUGACCAUCUGGCAAUGAUACCCGAUGUCCGGAUAGGUCGAAUAGUUACAAUCGCAACAUUCAGAACCUAUGUGAAUAUGGUUACUGUAUAAUUCAUCCCUUUUGACCCUUGUGUUUAGGACGACUCAGGGUUAAACUGUCAACCCUAAUUAGAUCAUCCGAAUUGUGCUCAAUUCAAACAGUCCUGUGACUCCUCACUAGGACUACCCUAGCCAAGAUUUUGCUAAAUUGAAACAUGACUGUACACAGCUCCUGAAUUGGAGUGGUCAAUCCCAUCUUGACACAUGCACCGACAAGUCAAGUACUUGACUACACCCAGCAGCCUUCCAUCACUGAAUUAGAAAUUCAGGUAGUCCAGUGCCUAAGUGCAGUGAGUUGCUUGCAAGUCACCAUGGCAGUCUCAG